UUUUCUCACUUAAUCUCGUUGGCUGUGCUGUACAUUAUCACACAGGCUUUUCAUCUAAUCACUGUUCAAGACGGAUAUGGAAUCCCUUCAUUAGAACUGAGAGACCCGGAGUCCAUCUUGAAAAUUAUUCCUUAGUUUUUCAUUACCCAGCUUCAUCUAACAUUGUGAUUGUUUGAAACACUACAUGUCCUCGUUUGAAUUUGAAGUUAAUAGGCCACACCAAAUAUAAAGAGCUAUGGCAGGUGCACAGAAUACUCACAUUGCUAACAAGUUUGGGAAAGAAGUUUUUAUCAUUGUCGUUCACCCUAAUGAACGUGAAGAUCGGAUGUACGUGGAGGCCGGUAAAAUUCGGAAUGUGGCUACAGACGAAGGGCCUGUGACUGUGAAAGUCUUUAACCCGUAUUGUGAGAAUACGGAGUUGGUAGAGCAGAGGACCAUUCCAUCUAAUAUGAGCGUCGUGAUUGUGAAGUCUGGAACCGGAAGACCUAAAAUUUCCCGUGUCAUAUAUGGGAAAUUAUGGGAUGUAGACCCUUAUGAUGAGGGCAAAUAAAAAGGUUGCAGUUGUAAAUGCCAAUAACAAUAUCUAUAUAAUAUCUAUAUAAUAUCUAUACUGCCUUUAUAAAAGUUCAAAUUCAGAGCUAGAUUACGAGUGGAGCGGUAGUUUGCACUCCUGCUCGCUUGUUAAUUCCGCUAGACGGAGGCUUUUGAAAGUAAAAGAUGAAAGUAAAAACAUUUUUGCACGAGCACUAACCCAAUGCACACAAAAAUGUUAUAUACAGUAUAUAUAUGUAUCUGUGUGUUUAUAUGUGCGUAUAUGUCUGUAAAUACUUAUAUACACAUAUGUACACACAUAUACACACAUAUAUAUAUAUACAUACAUACUUACAUAUACAUAUUCAGACAUGUAUAUCUAUGUAUCUCUAUGUUUAAGUGCUUUGCCUUCCAUUUUUUUUGUACACCUGGUACCUCAUAUCUUUGAACCCUUAUAACUUUUUAAUGUAAUAUUUUUAUUAAAUCAUUUUUAUCAUA
Long non-coding RNA from Bombina bombina (fire-bellied toad), 1029 nucleotides. RefSeq lists it as uncharacterized. NCBI's taxonomy places the organism in Eukaryota, Metazoa, Chordata, Amphibia, Anura, Bombinatoridae. The record is from RefSeq and is a predicted model, not a curated record. The transcript has 3 exons.